This 464-nucleotide ribosomal RNA is filed under the name uncultured bacterium. RNAcentral's name for it is "partial 16S ribosomal RNA". It matches the Rfam family "Bacterial small subunit ribosomal RNA", at positions 338 to 795 of the family's 1533-position model. The record is from RNAcentral.
CCUACGGGAGGCAGCAGUAGGGAAUCUUCCACAAUGGACGAAAGUCUGAUGGAGCAACGCCGCGUGAGUGAAGAAGGGUUUCGGCUCGUAAAGCUCUGUUGGUAGUGAAGAAAGAUAGAGGUAGUAACUGGCCUUUAUUUGACGGUAAUUACUUAGAAAGUCACGGCUAACUACGUGCCAGCAGCCGCGGUAAUACGUAGGUGGCAAGCGUUGUCCGGAUUUAUUGGGCGUAAAGCAAGUGCAGGCGGUUCAUAAAGUCUGAUGUGAAAGCCUGCGGUCAAACCGGAGAAUUGAAUCGGAACUGGUUAACUUGAGUGGAGGAGAGGGAUGGGGGACGUCAUGUGUAGCGGUGGAAUGCGUAGAUAUAUGGAAGAACACCAGUGGCGAAGGCGGCUCUCUGGUCUGCAACUGACGCUGAGGCUCGAAAGCAUGGGUAGCGAACAGGAUUAGAUACCCUUGUAGUC